UACAGAGGGCGCAAGCGUUGUUCGGAUUCACUGGGCAUAAAGAGCACGUAGGCGGCUGCGUAAGUCGGAUGUGAAAUCCCCCGGCUCAACCGGGGAAUGGCAUCCGAUACUGCGCGGCUCGAGGUUGGGAGGGGUGAGCGGAACUCCAGGUGGAACGGUGAAAUGUGUAGAUAUCUGGAGGAACACCGGUGGCGAAGGCGGCUCACUGGCCCGAAUCUGACGCUGAGGUGCGAAAGCUAGGGGAGCGAACGGG
Molecule: ribosomal RNA, 253 nt
Filed under: uncultured bacterium
Lineage: Bacteria
Description: partial 16S ribosomal RNA
Rfam family: Bacterial small subunit ribosomal RNA
Source: RNAcentral